UACGGAGGAUCCGAGCGUUAUCCGGAUUUAUUGGGUUUAAAGGGUGCGCAGGCGGAAGAUUAAGUCGGUGGUGAAAUUUUGCAGCUCAACUGUAAAAGUGCCAUUGAUACUGAUAGUCUUGAGUUUGGUUAAGGUAGGCGGAAUGUGUAAUGUAGCGGUGAAAUGCUUAGAUAUUACACAGAACACCAAUUGCGUAGGCAGCUUACUGAGCCGACACUGACGCUGAGGCACGAAAGCGUGGGGAUCGAACAGGAUUAGAUA
Molecule: ribosomal RNA, 261 nt
Filed under: uncultured prokaryote
Description: partial 16S ribosomal RNA
Rfam family: Bacterial small subunit ribosomal RNA
Source: RNAcentral